ACGCUCGACACCUACGGGAGGCAGCAGUGGGGAAUAUUGCACAAUGGGGGAAACCCUGAUGCAGCGACGCCGCGUGAAGGAAGAAGUAUCUCGGUAUGUAAACUUCUAUCAGCAGGGAAGAAAGUGACGGUACCUGACUAAGAAGCCCCGGCUAAUUACGUGCCCGCAGCCGCGGUAAUCUGAGCGGGCUGGCAAGGC
This 198-nucleotide ribosomal RNA is filed under the name uncultured bacterium. RNAcentral describes it as "partial 16S ribosomal RNA". It matches the Rfam family "Bacterial small subunit ribosomal RNA", at positions 328 to 539 of the family's 1533-position model. The record is from RNAcentral.